GUAAUCUACAGUAAAUGCAGGGUGUUGCACAGGGAGAUUAUAGAUUACAUAGUGUUAUGUAAGGCAUCCAUGUAGGGUUUUCAUCUCAAUUUUACAAUGUGCAGCAGUUUACUUUUACAAGUUUAUUUUGUAUUAAAUGUGUUCUACGCUCUGUGAAAGACCAAAAAGUAUUAGACUAAGUCAAAGACAACUUCAAGUUUUUGUACUAAUGAAAUUAAAUCACGUAAAACGAUUUAUUGACAGGUAACACACAACACAGUGUGAAGUCAAAGACUUAACAGUGGGAGGGAAGCAAUGCUAUGUAACCUUAGGUCUGGUGAGAAACUUCUAGCUUGGCUGGGCAUGUCGCUUUAGAGGUGUUCUGUUUCUCCAUCCACCCUCAGUUGUGAUCAUGUGACUAUGUGAUAAGUCUUUGGACAGCAGGUACAAAAAAAUUUGCUGGUGCAAUAUAAACACAUUUGUUUGCACAAGUAAAAUGUGGUAUUUGCAAGCUGUUUCUUCUGAGAUCCGUUCAUGAUGUGCUGUGUUGUUGUUUCAUUCAGAAUAUUCAGAUGUUUAAUUGGUGCUUUGUGCCGGCGAGAGCGCACGUGCGUAAAAUUGUUUGGCGCACCUGUUUCCUUUUGUUUCCGUGUUUAUACUGACGGUAAACGUUUUGUCCGUGCGUUUGUGGGAACAGAGGAGAAGAGCAUAGCUUAUUUUGGCUGGUCAUCGGGUUAACAGGGAAACCGAACCAGUCUGUGAAGCCUGCUCCUCUUCAGCCGAUACCAGCCGCAAGUGGACCUUUCGAACAUCUUAUAGUCGAUUGUGUUGGCCCUUUACCGUGUUCAAAAUCUGGCAGUGCUGGGAUUGGCCAGGUAAAAUCACUGAGAUGUGGAGCACCUGGGCCUGCUGCUCCACCUCCACUAUAUAUGCUGGCUUCCAGUCACCUGUGAGGCUCCCUGUUCCUUCGCCUGAGCCACAUGCACAAUUUAUUUAGUUUUCUCUGUUAGUGCACACUUCAACACCUCGCACCACAUCAUUCUCACACACCCACAUACACACUACUGAUAUUACAGACAAGACACACCCCAUACUCGUAGUUAUUAUUAGUUUGACUUACUUUCAGUUGUAAUAAAUUAUUUGGGCUAUUUUGGAAAGCGGACUCCUCCUGUUCUUUUGUCAUGGCCAUUGAGCCGGGUUAUGACAUUUGUGACUUAAUUUACGUAGCUUAUUAUAUCAGUUGUUUAUCAUUACAGUUGGCAAACCAUGAGAAAUGUUUAUCAACUAACUAAA
Amphiprion ocellaris (clown anemonefish) is the source of this 1272-nucleotide long non-coding RNA. RefSeq lists it as uncharacterized. NCBI's taxonomy places the organism in Eukaryota, Metazoa, Chordata, Actinopteri, Pomacentridae. The record is from RefSeq and is a predicted model, not a curated record. The transcript is spliced from 3 exons.